Long non-coding RNA from Paramormyrops kingsleyae, 4322 nucleotides. RefSeq lists it as uncharacterized. NCBI's taxonomy places the organism in Eukaryota, Metazoa, Chordata, Actinopteri, Osteoglossiformes, Mormyridae. The record is from RefSeq and is a predicted model, not a curated record.
CGCUCGCCUUGUGGAGUCUUCGCGGUGGAAGCACACAGGCUCAGGGUUCCCUUGGAUACAGUAACAACACUCACCCUGGAAGACCAGCGCGGCUCGCUGUAGCGAGACAUCCCUCCCAGGUCCCAGGGGAGAGAGGCCCCCAAACGCUUGAAUCUGAAGAUAAGGCAGGUCGGUGAGCAUUGGUGACCUUUCUCACGCCAACCGGUUUCUCUCAGGAUGCUACAGAGAGGGAAUAUCCAAAAAUCACCGGAGGAGCAUUCUCUUCACUCUGGCGACCACGGACCCAUCUCUGCACAGGGCUUCCGAUGCUGUUUACUGGAGAGGUCUGGUUCUGCUGGUGGUCACGAGUCUCCAAGGAGCCUCCAGAGGUCUGCUGGGGAGGAUGGGAAAUCUGACGGUCGUCGGCAGAGGGGGAACGCAAAAGGAAGAGUAGAGCCACACCGAAAGCUAAGCAGAUCAUCUGCUCUCGGUGGUCAGAGGGGCAGAGUGCAGAGAGAACAAGAUGACUUCACUGCAAGCGACAGCCAAGGUAGAAGAGGGCCACCUGUACCCAUGCCUUCACACAUCACCACACUAUCUCCUUCCAAGCUUGUCCUGUUCAUAUCCAUCCUAUUCUCUCCAAAUUAUCAAAAGGCUGGUGGGGAGUAAAUUGACACAGUUCCUGUAAACGCUGUAGUAAAUGGAGUGCCAAAUGUCCUUGGUUACUUGGAAGAUACGAUCUAGGAGCGGGAAGGGGGGGGCACAUGGACCUCAGCUGUCUUACACGGGGGUGGUUCAAUGCAUUGACUCAUCCCACCUGUCUUUUUCCUCACAAAGCAUCUGUGGGAGACUUUGUGGCUCAGGCGACAUAAAAUUAUGACAGAGGGUUUAAAGCGUCAGACUGAGCUUUUACACGAAGCUGCCUCAGACCGAGCUUUUACACGAGGGUGCCUCAGACUGAGCUUUUACACGAAGCUGCCUCAGACCGAGCUUUUACACGAGGCCACCUCAGAUUGAGCUUUUACAUGAGGCUGUCUCCAGGUAUUUUUAGCUCUUCCAUUCACUCUCUUCGCUCUGGUCUGACAUACCACUAAACACACCAUAAACGCACCAUGAACAUUAAGUUCAAAGCAAGUUACGGGGGUUAGAAAUUGAACUGAACUGUGGCCUUGGUCUGACUCAGCCUCCCGUGACGGACAGCCACCCCCCACCUGUUCAUAAUUGGCGUGACCUGCUGACUCCCUGUGCCCAGUAACCCAGACCACACCCUCCAAGUGGCUCCAACAGCACUUUCAGGCCGACGUCUCUUAUUAGUCCUUUUUCCCAGACUCAGUGCCAGAGUUUCUUCUUUUUUGACCUCUGAAACCGACCCCCCACCUCCACCCCCAUGUAAGACCUUAAAAGGAAAACCCCAUCUCCAAAUAUUCAUUCCCCGUGUCUACUCAAUCUGCCAGUCAUGCCGACUGGCAUGAUUCUCAUACCUGGGUACGUCUGUAAGGGCACUGCCUUUGCAGGAGGCUGCAGGAGGGGGUGCUGUUUCUCAGUCUAGCCUUUUGAAAGGGCCACUUAACCAGAGAGCUUUCCUAUGUAAGAUGGGCUUGUCCACAGUUAUACAGAAUAACUGGUAUAAGUGUGCCGAGAGCUGGGAGGGAGCAGAACUGUGGACAGUCCUGGAGGACUGGCUUGAGAAACACUGGGCUAAAAGAUACAAGCUUUCCCAGCAAGAGCUUUUUAUCUGAGGGAUUCUGCAGGUUGGCGCCCCCUGCAGGCAUUUCCCCAUUGAGCUGAAGUCCAGCUUCACCGGUUACAGGCCUUGUGGUGGAGCUGAGCAGCUGCUGGGACGUUACCCACAGAUACCCCACCGUGUAAAAGCCCUCAGCGUGGCCAGGCUUUGGUCCUAGUGCUGUGUGUCUAUUCAUAAAACACGAGUCCUUCAUAUGUAAGCAUUUAUCAGCUAAUCUGACUAUUCCCACGUGCAGACCAGCUUACAUAUUACAUGUUGACUGUUUACUUGCAGUGUAUAUGACAAUAUUACAUCUUGAAUCUAUUACUGGCCUGAGUGAUAUAGCAUACUACUUUAUCCAUCCAUUUUCUGUAACCGCUUGUCCUGUUCAAGGUUGCGGGGGGUGUGGAGCCUAUAGGCAUAAGGCAGGGAACAGCCCAGGACGGGGUGCCAACCCAUGGCAGGAUGCCAACCCAUGGCAGGGCACACACACACAGCACUCACUCACAAAGCACUCACUCACACAGCACUCACUCACACAGGCUCACCUACGGGAAAUUUGGGAACUCCAAUUAGCCUCAGCAUGUCUUUGCACUGUGGAGGGAAACCGGAGCACCCAGAGGAAACCCCACGAAGACACAGGGAGAACCCUAACCCUAACCCUAACCCUAACCCUAACUCCACACACACGGAACCCAGGUGUCCCAGUGGUGUGAGGCCAUAGUGCUAACCACUGCACCACCCACAGUAUAUUCUUUUUUUGUUCACUAUUGAAGUAAUUAUUUAUGUGUUUAAGGGAGUUUCUUCUGUGGUUUUCUGGUUCGCUUUCCGAAAUCCAGUCCGAGAAUCUCAGCUCUCAAACAUUAACUGGUCUUUGAGUCCUAUGACAGAAUCAGACAUUAACGCUGAUUAACACCAGGCACCAUGGAGGUGUCACGUCUCUCCACAGACCACAGCAGAGCCGUCAACUCUGGCAGAGAGCAGCAGGAGGAAGGAGUCUUGGCGGGAUAUGGAGGACGUGGGGUUUACUGCCUGAGGUCCUCCUCCCAGGCGAUCCUGCACCUUUAUCUGCCUACACUGCCUCACGAUGAAGAGGAGACCAUGACAGUCAAGGAACAGGAAAGGGAUCCCUCAUCCGGUCAGGUCAGACAGAGACUGAGCAUAGGCAGUGAGCAGAACAGCACGCACAUGGAAAUCGGUGAGUUACAAGAGUGUUAAUAAAUCAGUAACAGUACAAACAUCCCCAAGAGAAGAAGGUUAAGGCACACAGUUAAAAAAACAUGCCAAAGGCACAGAUCAGCGAUGCUGAGCAAACACUGAGUGCGGAGCAGGUGGCCGUUAUCAGCUACUUGAGGAACCAGGAAGUUCAGUCAGAUAGGGCAAGGGCAUCAGCAAGCUGUGAUUGGCCGACAACAGAGCAUCACAUGGACAGACAUCUAACUCCAGACACCCUUGGAUUUCUGGCCGAUAUCUGAAACUCAUUUGAAUGGCUGAAGUUAUCUACCUCUCUGGGGUAGGGGUUUGGAGCAUUAAAGGCAAUUAAAUGAAAAUCAAAACCAAAUGUCUCAGAGACAGUCAGCCCGAAGAGGAAGAGACCACGGAAGUAAUCUUUCAUUUGUGAAUUUUUCCUCAAACCAAGUCAGGCGAGCGUUCAGAAAGGAACGCAUCCUGUGAUAUGCAGCUCGUCGCGCUUCCCUCCAUUCUGCUGUCAUCGGAGAGAUGAGAUCUCAAAAGCAAUUUCACGCAUCAGAUUCAUUUGACUCGCACCGUAGGCAAGAGAAGGGCUUCAGCAUUGUUUUCUUAACACCCAUGGCUUUGUUUUGGUUACAUAAACGCAUCACAGCACCUGCCCAGCGGGGAAAAAGCUGCAAGAAUGCGUUCAACAUGCAGCAUGCUCCAAGUCACAUUUGUGGUUUCCACAGUCCUUCCAGAAAACACAAAUGGCCCCUGAACACAAGCCUCCGGGGUGGGGGCCAUCGCUGCUGGGAGAGUUUUCUCCAGAUCAGCCUAGAGAAGUUCCGUUGUUUAUGUCUUUGUAGCCUGUCCUUACCGGUGGUACAGGACAGAUUUGAUGUGUCCUGCUGCAGAGUAGUGCAUUCGGCUGUCCCCACGUCAACAGGGCCGCUCCUGGCACCCUGUGACGAUAAAGUCAAGUGAGGUAUCACCUCCUUCCCCAUGGACUGAAACUCCCCAGGAGGAGGAAGCCCCAUGGGGGCCAUGGCAGGGGACAGGGGGCCACCAAUGGGAUGGAGGACCGUUUUCAGACAAAGAGCACCAAGAACACUGAUAGGAGUCUUCUCCCGCAGUCCAACAGGAACGGACCAAGGCCUUCACUAUGGGUCAGCCGUGGCCUGAACACCAGGUGCUCUGGGAUCUGUGAGAGGCCUGUAAUACAAAAGCAAGCAACAUUUUAUUGGGUCGUGCAGAAGAUGAUAGAGGAAUGAAGAGUCACGGAUGGCCUAUAGACAGUUGCUGGCUUCUCAUGAAGUCAGAAAAUCUCCGAACAUCAUGGCCUGGGAAACACGUGCAUCCCAAGAGCUGAUGGGAACCUCCCUGAGAUCAGAUGACAUGAGAUGAGAAGAGAUUAGAUGAGAUGAGAUUCGGUUGAUCCCAUAUGAUC